GAUCAUGUGUGUGCACGCAUGAGCAGCCUGUGGUUCAUCCACACUCAGCAUCUCAGGAAGCCUUGGCCACACCCCAGCCUCAGCAGCCCCAUCACCUCUCCUCCAGAAGCCACAGACUCUUCCUGACUCUGGCUUUGUGCCUUCCCCUGAUGGCCUCUAAGUUCCAGCUCAACACAAAUGCCUACCGUGCUCGGAGCGGGGUGUGUAGUGAGAAGGACCUGGGGCUCAUGUCCCUAUGGGUCCCUGAUUGUUCUCUAAGAGUGCGGGGUAAGAGCAGAGACACCAGCACUAGGUGGCUCCUGUGGAUACUCUGGGCCUCUGUCUCCAUCUGACCUCGUGAGAAAGAUUGUCCUGGUUAGUUUUUAUCGUCACCUCAACACAAUCUAGUGUCACCUUGGAAGGUAGAAGAAUUGCUUCAAUCAGAUUGACCUGUGGCCAUGUCUGUAAGAGAUUGUCUUGACCCAUUAUUGAGGUGAGGGCCCAGCCCACUGUGGGCAGCACUGUCCCUAGGUAGAUGGGCCUGGACUGAAAAGAGCCAAAUGAGCCAGGAAGCAGCAUCCCCCAUGACUCUGCUUCAGUUCACACUUGAGUUCCCACUCUGACUUCCCUCAGUGGCGAACUGUGACUUGAAGGUGUAAGGUGAAAUCAGCCCUUUGCUCCCCAAGUUGCUUUGGGCUGAGCAUUUUAUCAGAGCAACAGAAGGCAACAGUAUUAGCGCCAACCCUUAACGUGUGUAAGUUGUGUGGGAAGCAGCUGGCACAGAAUCCCAUCUUCAGCUCUCCCCCCGCAGACUUCAACACCCUGACUCGAGGCCCUAAGCCCUGUUCAGGGCACAUGCUGUCAUAUUUGCCUCCCGUGUGGAGCCCACCAGGCAGGGUUCCAUCUUCCCUCCCUGAGGGUUCUCUGGGGUGGUGGUAUUCCACAGGUGAGUUGUAACCCAGCGCUGAGCAGAGCCCCUGUGCCUGAGCAUCCAGUUAGCAUUUGCUUCUUGUAGUCUUAAGUCAGGGAAGGGUAUUGGAAGAGUGUGGCUGGGUGGUUCCCAGUUGCUUGACUAUGGCUCACCUGGAAGUGUGUAGGGCUGUUGAUUGCAUAGGCACGCUCCUGAAGGAUGUAGAUCCAUGGUUACCUGAGCACAUCAGUUACUUAGACAUGACAGAACUACUUAAGGAUUUAUUUUGCUCAUGGUUUGAGGUUCAGUCCCCUGUGGCAGGAGCAUGAGGCUGCUUGUUCACAGUAAGCAAGAAGCAGAGAAAAUGGAACAUUAUUGUUUAGCGCUCGCUCUCUAUUCGGUUCCGGACCCAGACCAUGGAACGGUGCCACCCACUUUCAGGGUGGAUUUUUCUUCAUGAGUUGCUCCUCACCGAAAACAUUCUCACAGAUGUACCCAGAGGUUGUCUCCUGCAUGAUAUUUUAUUAUUAUUUGUAUGUGUGUAUUUUGUCUAUGUGUAUGUCUGUGAACUAUGUGCACCCCUGAUGUCCACGGAGGCCUGACAUCCAUGGAAGUCAGAAGAGGGUGUUUGAUUCCUGGAACUGGAGUUAUAGAACAUUGUGGUUGUGAGCCUCCAUGUGGGUGCUGAGAGUUGAACCCAGGACCUCUGGAAGAGCGGCCAGUGCUCAGAGCCGUUAAGCUAUCUCUCCAGCCCCUCGUAAGGAAUUCUAAGUCUAACCAGAGUUGAUCAUCACACUAAAGCUGAGCAUGGUUUGCAUAGGGUGUAGCUGCUGUCUAGGACCAGGAUGAUGUGUGGGGUGGAGGAAAUGGUCUAAACUCAGGGUAUGGGGCUGAAGAGAUUGCUCAGCAGUUAAGAGCAUUUGCUUUUACAGACGACCUGGGCUCAGUGCUCAGCACCCACAUGGCAUCUAACAGCUGUCUGUAACUCCGUUUCUAGGGGAUUCCAUGGCCCUCUCUGGCCUUCAUGGGCACCACACACAUGAUAUGUUUACAGACAUGCACACAAAACACUCAUACAAUAAAUAUAUAUUUUAAAUUAGAUUAGAAUAAUAGUGAAAGCCUCAAAACUCACUGACUCACACGCUUUCCCGAGGAGUUUUGUAGAGUAUCACACUAAUGCUGCUAAACACAGUUCCAGAGCCACAGCCCAUUUCCUGGGGAAAGCCGUCCCCACAGUUGGUUUCCCAUAAGCAAAGCUUGGUUGGAGAAUUAACAGUCCACCUUUACAGUCAGGAAUUCUUUACUUAGCGUUCUUGACAGGUGGCAGCCUUAUGGGACAGCCUCCACAGCUAGCCUUCUGUAGCAAGCGUGUCCUUUUCCACAGGAAGAAGAGACUUCUCUGUCAUUCGCUCAUUGUCCACACAGCACACAUAGAAGGAAGGUGCCUUCCCCGCUCUUCUACUCUUGGCUCCUUCCUGUUUGCCGUAUCCUGAAGAGCACCGUAGCUUAUGCUGCCUCAUUUGCUGGUUGCCCCUAGUGAUGCUGUCAGCAGGGUCCAUCUUCUGCACCUCGAACCUGGAGCUAAACACAGUCCAGCAAUUAGAGUCCACCCCAGUGCAAUUAGGCUCAUGGAUCCAUCUCAUAUCAACACAUGUUUGUCAAAGUGCAGCUUAAGACACUGAUAGCAGCCAGGCAGUGGUAUCUCAAAGCUUUAAUCCCAGCACUUGGGAGGUAGAGACAGGUGGAUCUCUGAGGCCAGCCUGGUCUACAGAGCAAGUUCCAGGACAGUCUCCAAAGCUACAGAGAAACCCUGUCACACACACCCCCAAAAAGGCACACUGUUAGCAUUUUCUCUUAAUUAUUUUUCGAUAUUACACUAUAAUUACAAAUUUUCCCCUUUCCUUUUCCUCCCUCCAGGCCCUCCCAUCCCUCUUUUCCGCCCUCUGUAUAAUGUUACAUUUUAUGUGUAUGAUUCAGGGUUUGCCCAUUGGUGUGCUCUUCCCUGGAGAAGACUGUUUCUCCUGCUCUCAGGACUCCUCAGUUGCCUGCAGUUCUUUGUCUAGGGUUGAGGCCACAGCUUUCCCCAUCCAAGUUAGCGUGUCCGUUGGUGUGGUUCAUGUUCAAGUCACUUAGGCAGCCAUGAUGGUAAGAAUUCAGGGCUCCAGCUUCUGGCAUUUCUAGGAGACACAGUCUCACGGCAGAUGCCUUGUUCCUCUGACUCUUACAGUCCUCCCACCCCCUCCUCUAUGGUGGUUUUGGAGCCUUUGGCACAUAUAGACGGAGACUGCUUGCUGGUUUCCCAGUCGCCUGGAUGCAAAUAACUACACAGAAGCAGUAUUAAUUGCAACACUGUUUGGCCAAUAGUUCAUGCAUAUUUCUAGCUAACUCUUUUUUUUUUUAUAAAUCUUUUCUUUUUUUAAUAUUUAUUAUGUAUACAGUAUUCUGUCUGCUUGUAUGCCUGCAGGCCAGAAGAGGGCACCAUACAUCAUUACAGAUGGUUGUGAGCCACCAUGUGGUUGCUGGGAAUUGAACUCUGGACCUUUGGAAGAGCAGGCAAUGCUCUUAACCACUGAGCCAUCUCUCCAGCCCCCAGCUAACUCUUAUAUCUUAAAUUAACCCAUUUCUAUUCAUCUGUGAAUCACCGUGAGGGUGUGGCCUAUCAGUAAAGUUCUGACAAGUACCUGGCAUCCAUCUUUCUCCUUCAGCAGUUACAUGGCGUCUCCCUCAUUCCGCCUACUUUCUCUCUAUAUCUCUGUUCGGAUUUCCCGCCUGGCUUUAUUCUACCAAGUCAUUGGCCAAAAGAGCUUUAAUAAUCAAUGGUAAUAAAACAUAUUCAUAGCAUACAGAGUGGAAUCCCACAUGAGGUGCAGGAGCGCGUUGUAGGUCCCAGAGCCCUAGGUGCAGGAGCGCGGUGCAGGUCCCAGAGCCCUAGGUGCAGGAGCGCGGUGCAGAUGUAUCUGUUGGUUGGGACUGGGAUUGUGAUCAGUUGUGCUUUUCUAUAGUGGUCUCCAUCUGUUGCUGGCCGAGUCAGAAUCUGAGUGAAUGCCCCACUUGGAGCCAUUGUUGAAAAUGUUAGGAGUCCAAGCCCCAUCACCUACCAAUAGCCAGUUCUCUAGGUGCACUUGGGUCCAUGGGAAUUGUGAUCUGGACAUUCUCAUCAAGAGCCUGGGCCAUGGAAGGUUCUGGAGAACAUGGACACAGUAGGAGUGGGUCUCCAGGGCAGGCCAGUGAGUCUUUGUCACCUUGUGCUGUGUGCAGAGCCCUAUCCUGAGCUGCAUAGUGCUCUGUUGGGUUUUAGCUGGCUGCCUUCUGGUACCCAUAGGGGCUUUUAGUUUGGAAACUAGUGUUUUUGCUAGAGAAGACCUAAGAAAGAGAGCUGCCCUUUAUGAAGCGCUCUGGGGUCUCCCGUUUCCUCAUAGAAUGCACAAGGGCCACUAUCCUGAGUGCCCUACAGCGAUGUAUCAGGUUCAGUCUGUUUGUCUUCCUGAGCCCCCACUCUCUGGGGCUCUUGUUUUUGCGGCUUCCCUGACUCUGCAGGCUCCUGUCCUACUUGCCUGGCCUUUCCCCAUGGUCCUUCUAAGGUGAACAGCCCAGGUCCACAGCCUACUCUCCCGGAGCCUUCUACUCUGAGCCUCCAACAUCCAUGCAGGUGGUCAGCUCACGCUGACAAGGAAUGAGUCAGGAGUAUGAGGGGAGGUAGGCCUGAGGCUGGCCAUCACCUCAGCCAAGCUCCUGAAAGAGAUGAGACAGGGGUGAUGGUGCUCCUCAUCCACACUACAGCCUACAGGUGUUCCCGUGUACACUAGGUCAUGGGGGUCCUCAUCCAUGCCAGGUCCCAAGCAAGUACCUGUAGGAUGAAAUUUAAGUUGACUACUCGCCACCCAGUUGCAGGUGAAUCAUUUUGUCCCAACUUUCAAACCUGGUCUCAUCCUGGCCACAGGUGAGGCUGCCAUGGGAGCCAUGGGUAGGAGGCAGAGGGAUGAAGUGGAACAGGUGGUUGCACCCAGUGUCCAAC
Alexandromys fortis (reed vole) is the source of this 4904-nucleotide long non-coding RNA. RefSeq lists it as uncharacterized. NCBI's taxonomy places the organism in Eukaryota, Metazoa, Chordata, Mammalia, Rodentia, Cricetidae. The transcript has 3 exons. The record is from RefSeq and is a predicted model, not a curated record.